GAAAUGCGAUAAGUAGUGUGAAUUGCAGAAUUCAGUGAAUCAUCGAAUCUUUGAACGCACAUUGCGCCCUUUGGUAUUCCUUAGGGCAUGCCUGUUCGAGCGUCAUUUAAACCUUCAAGCUCAGCUUGGUGAUGGGUGACUGUCCCCUCCUCGCGGGGGGACUCGCCUCAAAAACAUUGGCGGCCGGUACAUUGGCUUCGAGCGCAGCAGAAACGCGGUCUCGAGCCCGGUGGAUCGGCUCCCACAAGCCUAUUCUUUUAUUUUGACCUCGGAUCAGGUAGGGAUACCCGCUGAACUUAAGC
RNAcentral lists this unclassified non-coding RNA (302 nucleotides) under plant metagenome. RNAcentral's name for it is "partial contains 5.8S ribosomal RNA, internal transcribed spacer 2, and large subunit ribosomal RNA". The stretch from base 1 to 105 matches the Rfam family "5.8S ribosomal RNA", at positions 50 to 154 of the family's 154-position model. The record is from RNAcentral.